This 490-nucleotide ribosomal RNA is filed under the name Synechococcus sp. CCY0470. RNAcentral describes it as "bacterial SSU rRNA". It matches the Rfam family "Bacterial small subunit ribosomal RNA", at positions 1045 to 1533 of the family's 1533-position model. The record is from RNAcentral. Lineage: Bacteria; Bacillati; Cyanobacteriota; Cyanophyceae; Synechococcales; Synechococcaceae.
AUGGCUGUCGUCAGCUCGUGUCGUGAGAUGUUGGGUUAAGUCCCGCAACGAGCGCAACCCACGUCUUUAGUUGCCAGCAUUGAGUUGGGCACUCUAGAGAGACCGCCGGUGAUAAACCGGAGGAAGGUGUGGAUGACGUCAAGUCAUCAUGCCCCUUACAUCCUGGGCUACACACGUACUACAAUGCUACGGACAAAGGGCAGCAAACUCGCGAGAGCUAGCAAAUCCCAUAAACCGUGGCUCAGUUCAGAUCGUAGGCUGCAACUCGCCUACGUGAAGGAGGAAUCGCUAGUAAUCGCAGGUCAGCAUACUGCGGUGAAUACGUUCCCGGGCCUUGUACACACCGCCCGUCACACCAUGGAAGUUGGCCACGCCCGAAGUCGUUACUCCAACCCGCAAGGGAGGAGGAUGCCGAAGGUGGGGCUGAUGACUGGGGUGAAGUCGUAACAAGGUAGCCGUACCGGAAGGUGCGGCUGGAUCACCUCCUAAC